AUAACGACUCUCGGCAACGGAUAUCUCGGCUCUCGCAUCGAUGAAGAACGUAGCGAAAUGCGAUACUUGGUGUGAAUUGCAGAAUCCCGUGAACCAUCGAGUCUUUGAACGCAAGUUGCGCCCCAAGCCUUUGGGCCGAGGGCACGUCUGCCUGGG
RNAcentral lists this ribosomal RNA (156 nucleotides) under Draba ossetica. RNAcentral's name for it is "5.8S ribosomal RNA". It matches the Rfam family "5.8S ribosomal RNA". Rfam says of the family: 5.8S ribosomal RNA (5.8S rRNA) is a component of the large subunit of the eukaryotic ribosome. Lineage: Eukaryota; Viridiplantae; Streptophyta; Magnoliopsida; Brassicales; Brassicaceae. The record is from RNAcentral.